AGUGAACGCCGGCGGUAGGCCUAACACAUGCAAGUCGAACGGCAGCACAGUAAGAGCUUGCUCUUACGGGUGGCGAGUGGCGGACGGGUGAGGAAUACAUCGGAAUCUACUUUUUCGUGGGGGAUAACGUGGGGAAACUUACGCUAAUACCGCAUACGACCUACGGGUGAAAGCAGGGGAUCUUCGGACCUUGCGCGAUUGAAUGAGCCGAUGUCGGAUUAGCUAGUUGGCGGGGUAAAGGCCCACCAAGGCGACGAUCCGUAGCUGGUCUGAGAGGAUGAUCAGCCACACUGGAACUGAGACACGGUCCAGACUCCUACGGGAGGCAGCAGUGGGGAAUAUUGGACAAUGGGCGCAAGCCUGAUCCAGCCAUACCGCGUGGGUGAAGAAGGCCUUCGGGUUGUAAAGCCCUUUUGUUGGGAAAGAAAAGCAGCAGGUUAAUACCCCGCUGUUCUGACGGUACCCAAAGAAUAAGCACCGGCUAACUUCGUG
This 492-nucleotide ribosomal RNA is filed under the name uncultured bacterium. Its description in RNAcentral is "partial 16S ribosomal RNA". It matches the Rfam family "Bacterial small subunit ribosomal RNA", at positions 29 to 507 of the family's 1533-position model. The record is from RNAcentral.